UUGUGUUCUCCAUAUUUUUAUAAUGACAGUCUACUGGGAAUUGUGUCCAGAAGCAGCAGCACAUUAUUGAAUAUUUUCUUUCCCAUCUGUCUUGCCUCCAUCUUCAAUCAAUCAAUCAAUCAAAGAAAGGAAGAAAGGAAGGACGGAAGGAAGGAAGGAAGGAGAAGGAAAGAAAGANUCUUGCCUCCAUCUUCAAUCAAUCAAUCAAUCAAAGAAAGGAAGAAAGGAAGGAAGGAGAAGGAAAGAAAGAAAAGAAAGAAAGAAAGAAGAAAGGACGGAAGGAAGGAAACAUUCCUUAUGUUACUAAAGAAAUGGAGGAUUCUAUUUCCUGAAAUACCUAGAGUAUUUGGGAUUGCAAAUUUUCAUGAACUCCUAUCAUCAGUAGCAGCUACAAAAUUUAACUGGUCACCUACUACAUGCAAGACACUAUGAGGAGAAUUCAGUAGCAUAAAAAUAUGUAGACAAUUUUACUCUCAGCUUAAAACCAAGGUAAGAAAAACAUACUAGUAUACAAAAAUAUAAAUCAACAUUUACUAAGCACCAAGUCACAAAAAUUAGUGAAGUUGUUAAAAAUGAGACUCUGAUGGUGCCCUUUUACAAUUUCAUUUCUUCUCCUCUUGACUGAUAGCUUUUUUUAAAUCUUAGUACAACAUUACAACAUACCUUUUAUAGGAGUCAUUAACUAUUGUUAAUUUAAGAAACUUUACUCUUGCCCUCAAGCAAAGAGAGUUGAUUUUGAA
RNAcentral lists this long non-coding RNA (740 nucleotides) under Vulpes vulpes (red fox). RNAcentral describes it as "lncRNA (ENSVVUG00000027744.1)". Lineage: Eukaryota; Metazoa; Chordata; Mammalia; Carnivora; Canidae. The record is from RNAcentral.